This 615-nucleotide ribosomal RNA is filed under the name Escherichia coli. RNAcentral's name for it is "partial 23S ribosomal RNA". It matches the Rfam family "Bacterial large subunit ribosomal RNA", at positions 2251 to 2860 of the family's 2925-position model. The record is from RNAcentral. Lineage: Bacteria; Pseudomonadati; Pseudomonadota; Gammaproteobacteria; Enterobacterales; Enterobacteriaceae.
ACAGUGUCUGGUGGGUAGUUUGACUGGGGCGGUCUCCUCCUAAAGAGUAACGGAGGAGCACGAAGGUUGGCUAAUCCUGGUCGGACAUCAGGAGGUUAGUGCAAUGGCAUAAGCCAGCUUGACUGCGAGCGUGACGGCGCGAGCAGGUGCGAAAGCAGGUCAUAGUGAUCCGGUGGUUCUGAAUGGAAGGGCCAUCGCUCAACGGAUAAAAGGUACUCCGGGGAUAACAGGCUGAUACCGCCCAAGAGUUCAUAUCGACGGCGGUGUUUGGCACCUCGAUGUCGGCUCAUCACAUCCUGGGGCUGAAGUAGGUCCCAAGGGUAUGGCUGUUCGCCAUUUAAAGUGGUACGCGAGCUGGGUUUAGAACGUCGUGAGACAGUUCGGUCCCUAUCUGCCGUGGGCGCUGGAGAACUGAGGGGGGCUGCUCCUAGUACGAGAGGACCGGAGUGGACGCAUCACUGGUGUUCGGGUUGUCAUGCCAAUGGCACUGCCCGGUAGCUAAAUGCGGAAGAGAUAAGUGCUGAAAGCAUCUAAGCACGAAACUUGCCCCGAGAUGAGUUCUCCCUGACUCCUUGAGAGUCCUGAAGGAACGUUGAAGACGACGACGUUGAUAGG